RNAcentral lists this ribosomal RNA (253 nucleotides) under uncultured bacterium. RNAcentral describes it as "partial 16S ribosomal RNA". It matches the Rfam family "Bacterial small subunit ribosomal RNA", at positions 524 to 776 of the family's 1533-position model. The record is from RNAcentral.
UACGUAGGGUGCAAGCGUUAAUCGGAAUUACUGGGCGUAAAGCGUGCGCAGGCGGUUAUGUAAGACAGAUGUGAAAUCCCCGGGCUCAACCUGGGAACUGCAUUUGUGACUGCAUAGCUUGAGUGCGGCAGAGGGGGAUGGAACUCCGCGUGUAGCAGUGAAAUGCGUAGAUAUGCGGAAGAACACCGAUGGCGAAGGCAAUCCCCUGGGCCUGCACUGACGCUCAUGCACGAAAGCGUGGGGAGCAAACAGG